UACGUAGGGUGCGAGCGUUGUCCGGAAUUAUUGGGCGUAAAGAGCUCGUAGGCGGUUUGUUGCGUCUGCCGUGAAAGUCCGGGGCUCAACUCCGGAUCUGCGGUGGGUACGGGCAGACUAGAGUGAUGUAGGGGAGACUGGAAUUCCUGGUGUAGCGGUGAAAUGCGCAGAUAUCAGGAGGAACACCGAUGGCGAAGGCAGGUCUCUGGGCAUUAACUGACGCUGAGGAGCGAAAGCAUGGGGAGCGAACAGG
RNAcentral lists this ribosomal RNA (253 nucleotides) under uncultured bacterium. RNAcentral describes it as "partial 16S ribosomal RNA". It matches the Rfam family "Bacterial small subunit ribosomal RNA", at positions 524 to 776 of the family's 1533-position model. The record is from RNAcentral.